RNAcentral lists this ribosomal RNA (440 nucleotides) under uncultured bacterium. RNAcentral's name for it is "partial 16S ribosomal RNA". It matches the Rfam family "Bacterial small subunit ribosomal RNA", at positions 338 to 795 of the family's 1533-position model. The record is from RNAcentral.
CCUACGGGAGGCAGCAGUGGGGGAUAUUGCACAAUGGGGGGAACCCUGAUGCAGCGACGCCGCGUGGGUGAAGAAGCGCCUCGGCGCGUAAAGCCCUGUCAGCAGGGAAGAAAAUGACGGUACCUGAAGAAGAAGCCCCGGCUAACUACGGGCCAGCAGCCGCGGUAAUACGUAGGGGGCAAGCGUUAUCAGGAUUUACUGGGUGGAAAGGGGGCGCAGACGGCGAUGCAAGCCAGGAGUGAAAGCCCGGGGCCCAACCCCGGGACUGCUCUUGGAACUGCGUGGCUGGAGUGCAGGAGGGGCAGGCGGAAUUCCUGGUGUAGCGGUGAAAUGCGUAGAUAUCAGGAGGAACACCGGUGGCGAAGGCGGCCUGCUGGACUGCAACUGACGUUGAGGCCCGAAAGCGUGGGGAGCAAACAGGAUUAGAUACCCCUGUAGUC